Molecule: long non-coding RNA, 1247 nt
Organism: Venturia canescens
Lineage: Eukaryota; Metazoa; Arthropoda; Insecta; Hymenoptera; Ichneumonidae
Exons: 3
Source: RefSeq, a predicted model, not a curated record
AGCCGAGAGGGUCGCACGCUCCCUCGUAUUGCUAUCCGGCCGAGGCGCGCGUCCGGUUCGCGAGGGGGUUGUUUGAAGGAGACAACAAAUACAGAAGAGUCAUUUUAAAAUCAAGAAAUAAUCAUUCGAAACGUACGAACGGACGAAACGGUAGUUUUUUAUCUUUGUUAAUGUUUCCAUGUACAAAAAAUGCAUAAAUUUAUGAACAUUUGUAUGAACUCGAAGUGUCUUGCACCGCGGUUGGUCUACUGCGUGCUCGCCGAGAAAGCGAAAGCUCGGAGCGCGGUUGAUACGAAGGUGAUGACGAGAGGAAGGGUGUUUUGAAAAAAGGGGGUUUUUUUAUCCCGCGUCGCACUUAACCCGGAUAGUUUGGAAGCUGCACCGCGAGAGCGGGGCGGAGCAUCAUCUUCGCCCUCGCAUUUUCAUCGACGUUGGAAAAAUUUCCUCGAUCAUCAAGCGCGCGCGGGGAGGAUCGGGGGCGUGUGGGCGGAGGAAAAAUAGAGAAGGAUCUUAAGAGGGUCUCACCGGUGGCGGGGAAUCCUCGGCGAGAUGAACCCUCGGGGGAUAAAAAUUCACGAGUAGAGAAAGAUAGAGAAAGAGAGGAAGCCGGAAGAAAGGAGGAACGAGUAUAGGAAGAAACGUCAUGGGAAUUUGGCAUGUUAUCGCACGUGCUGAUCGCUAGACUUCCGAUGGUCACUUGAAUUCGUGCGAGAAAUGCUUCUGGCAAACUCCGAUAUAAAUCGGCGCAGCUGUUGCACGGUCAAGUACGCCACGAAGCGGCGAUUCUCUGAGCUCGAAGAACGCGGUGAAAAAUCUCUCGACGUCAGGACCACUUUUUGUCACGCUCGUACAACAUUUUGGCGAAAUUGCUCAAACGAAAAUUCGACAACAUCGACAAACUGGGCAACCAGAAAGGGGAGCUAAAAGGGCGUUGAAGCACAGCCAGCGUUGAGAUAAAAGAGCCUCGUGACGGAGGGGCUUCGUACGGCCCUGGCGCGGCUGCGGCACUGCACCCCACCCGGGGGCUCCCUGCCAAACACCCCGAAUCCACCCUCCACCCCCGAGCACAAGGCCCACGGGCUGCAACGUUUGCUUGUGUCUCGUAAAAAAAUAGUACCGAAGACAGGAAAAAGCUCGAGGCUCGCGCCGGGGCACACCUGUGCAGAAGCCAAUAACAAUAUUGUUUCUAACCUCACCAGCGGACAUUCCCGAAAGAAUGCACCGAAGAAACAAAAAUACCAAUAUGC